GUGGGGAAUUUUGGACAAUGGGGGCAACCCUGAUCCAGCAAUGCCGCGUGCAGGAAGAAGGCCUUCGGGUUGUAAACUGCUUUUGUACGGAACGAAACGGUCCUGGUUAAUACCUGGGGCUAAUGACGGUACCGUAAGAAUAAGCACCGGCUAACUACGUGCCAGCAGCCGCGGUAAUACGUAGGGUGCAAGCGUUAAUCGGAAUUACUGGGCGUAACGCGUGCGCAGGCGGUUUUGUAAGACAGGCGUGAAAUCCCCGGGCUCAACCUGGGAAUGGCGCUUGUGAAUGCAAGGCUGGAGUGCGGCAGAGGGGGAUGGAAUUCCGCGUGUAGCAGUGAAAUGCGUAGAUAUGCGGAGGAACACCGAUGGCGAAGGCAAUCCCCUGGGCCUGCACUGACGCUCAUGCACGAAAGCGUGGGGAGCAAACAGGAUUAGAUACCCUGGUAGUCC
Molecule: ribosomal RNA, 450 nt
Filed under: uncultured bacterium
Lineage: Bacteria
Description: partial 16S ribosomal RNA
Rfam family: Bacterial small subunit ribosomal RNA
Source: RNAcentral